CGAGGGCGAUCAGGCGAUAGCUGCUAUGCCGCUGGCGACCGGCGCACGGGUGAGUAACGCGUAUCCAACCUCCCCCUUAGUAGGGAAUAGCCCGGCGAAAGUCGGAUUAAUGCCCUAUGUUCUUCAAAGCGGACAUCUAACUUGAAGCAAAGAUUGAUCGCUAAGGGAUGGGGAUGCGUCUGAUUAGCUUGUCGGCGGGGUAACGGCCCACCGAGGCGACGAUCAGUAGGGGUUCUGAGAGGAAGGUCCCCCACAUUGGUACUGAGACACGGACCAAACUCCUACGGGAGGCAGCAGUGAGGAAUAUUGGUCAAUGGGCGUAGGCCUGAACCAGCCAAGUAGCGUGCAGGAAUGACUGCCCUAUGGGUUGUAAACUGCUUUUAUGCGGGAAUAAAGUCAGGUACGUGUACCUGUUUGUAUGUACCGCAUGAAUAAGGACCGGCUAAUUCCGUGCCAGCCGCAGC
This 464-nucleotide ribosomal RNA is filed under the name uncultured bacterium. RNAcentral's name for it is "bacterial SSU rRNA". It matches the Rfam family "Bacterial small subunit ribosomal RNA", at positions 63 to 518 of the family's 1533-position model. The record is from RNAcentral.